CUCAUCUUGGUCAGUAACGAGUUGGUUGUUCUUCAGCUGUGAUUACCAGAAAACCAGACAUUCUUUGGGCAUAGUAGUUAAUGAUAGAAGUUGGCAGCUAUAAAUAAGAGCUCACAUUGAUACUCUGUGAAGGGAAGGCUCUGAAGGGUGGAUGGAGUGGCUGGAGGCUUGGGUCCAAGACACGCAGAUUCCAGUCCCAGCUCCGUUGGCAGCUGUCUCCACAGGCAGCUCCCAAGAUGCUGUGGGUGAGCAGGUGCUUUGCUGGGAAAACCUCUUAUCAGACAUAGCUGCCUAGUACCUCUCGAGUGGCACCCAGACAUCCUUCCCUUUCCUCGUCUCCGCCUGACAGCUCUGCCCUUCAGGGAGGCUGCAAAGAAGUGUAACCAUGGGCCCAACCAGUUGGGAGCAGAAGAAAGGAAAAAACUCUACCCUACAAAGGCUGUUAAAUUUGAGAUGCCAGACACAGAGGUGGGUGACUCAACAAUUUCUUGAAAAGGAAAGAUGCCUGCAAAGCUGGGAGAGGGGGCAAGCUGCCCCGUCACCUGCCUUGUGUUGGAAGCAGUGGUGAGCUGGACAUGAAAAAGCUGUAGCACAAUGUUGCCUAGACAGCCCACACCCUGUCCCAGGGAACCUGGACAUCACAAAGCCUGAGGCUGGGGAGGCCUGAGAGUCUAUUUAAUGGAAGUGGGAGGGAACCUGGACAUCACAAAGUCUGAGGCUGGGGAGCUCCGACAGUCUAUUUAAUGGAGGUGGGAGAGAACCUGGACAUCACAAAGCCUGAGGCUGGGGAGGCCUGAGAGUCUAUUUAAUGGAGGUGGGAGAGAGGCUGUGAGCUUCGUUUAGGAUGAUGUCACUGUUGUUUAGUUGCUAAGUCAUGUCCGACUCUGCGACCCCACGGACUGUAGCUCGCCAGGCUCCUCUGUCCAUGCAAUUCUCCAGGCAAGAAUACUGGAGUGGGUUGGAAUUCCCUUCUCCAGGGGAUCUUCCUGACCCAAGGAUUGAACCUGGACCUCCUUCACUGCAGGUGGAUUCUUUACCACUGAGCCACCAGGGAACCCCUUAGCUUAGGAGAGAGGAAAACCUCACAAGUGAGAGCAGAAUCUGGCCUGCCUCACUGUCCUGUCAGGAGCAGCUCAGUGAAACCGGUUCAGAUCAUCUCACCGGGCCUGGCUGGCAGAGUGGGGCCAAAAGCUGCCCCCGUUUCAUUUAGAAGCAAACACUGGCCUAGCACAGGAGCCCUGGGGCUUGGGACAGAGCUCUGGGGUGAGGUGAGCAGCCAGCCUCCAGGGUUCACACGCCUCCGGGCCCUCAGUGGAAAGCUCAAGUCUCUUCCAGAGCCUCCCUCGACGGCCGCUGCCUGCCAAUCCGGUUGGCACUUCCACCAGGAUGGCUCCUCAGGAAGUGGCGUGGGGCCACUUGGGUGUUUUCUGCCUCUGCCUCCCCGAGCCAGGGCUCCUCGGGGAAUGGCGUACUGCGGCUUCAGCUGCUGCAGCAGAAGAUGACCAACAGAACUGGAGAAAACAGCUUACCCCGGAGCCGCCACUGGGAGAGCAGAGGAAACCCACCAGGCUCAGGGAAGCUAGACAAUGGGGAACCUUCGAGACCUCCACCCUCUUGGCCGGGUUCUGUGACUGUAGAGUCAGGAAGAGUCCCCCCAGGAGUGAACCACUUCCUGACCCGGACUCUGCUUCAUUGACUUCUUAAUUCUACCACCAAGGGGUCUUGGACUUGAGUCCAGCAAUCACACCUUGAGAAUUCGUGGCCAGGAGCCUGCGGCCCUUCAGUGGCAAGGAUCCUCAGGGACUGUCCCAGGAGGAAGCCGGAUCACAGAGCUACCAGCCACCCUUUGGCAAGUGAGAGCACAGAGGCUGGUGGCCUCUUCCAGCUCCCGGUCCUGGUCAGCACAGGCCAGGAUGAUGGCCACUCUCUCCAGAGGCAGCAGAGAAACUCCUAAAACCCACAAGCUGGAAGCAUAGAAGGUUCAGCAGAGAAGCCAGAGUUCUGACCUUCACGAUGCCGAGUAAGAAGAGACAGGAUAGCAUCACUUGCAGGAAGGAACCAGAGAGUCUGAGGACAAAAGUGGAUAUUUUCCUCCUUAAUUUUCCCAGAAAAGGAGGGUUUUGCCUAAACAUGUGUGAGCCUUGCUAAAAUACAUCAGAUAAGAAUAUGUAUAGCUACCUAAACUUAACUAGCAAAAAAGGGUUUCCAACCUUGGCAUUUGGAGAAGGAAAUGGCAACCCACUGGAUAAUCCCACGGACAGAGGAGCCUAGUGAGCCACAGUCCAUGGGGUCAUGGAGUCGGACACAACUGAGCACGCACCAGUCAACACUGGCAUUCCACGCAGCCCGGCCCAUCCCAGUUAGGUCCCUGAGGGCAAAGGCUAGCGACUUAGUACAUACAUGUGUGGCAAGGCCAGGGCCAGCUCAGGUUCAUCGUCGGUGCAGGCCAGUACGAUGCAAUUCCUUAAAAAAGAUUUCUUAAUCUAAAACCAGCUGUUGUCUGUUGUAGGCCAGAAUAUGACAUUUUAAUUAGCAUUAUUGUUCCGCUUCUGAAACCAGAACCUAUGGCAUCCCAAGGGCAGAUGAUCCUGGCCCAAGCUUAUGAGUGAGGCUUGCUGGUGAGCAGCUCAGAAAUACACCCACACAGGACAGGGUGGAGCUCCUAGUCCCCUCUGAACCCAUGAAUCAGAGCACUUGCUAUACUCCUGUCCUGAAUUUUUCCCUGUGACCUGUACCCUCUCUCUUUCCCUAGGACAGAAGCUUUGAGGUUUGCUUUCAGUGCCUAGGAUGUAAUAUUUAUUCUAUAAUAAUAAUAAAAGAAAAUUGUACACUAUGGUGCAAAAUCUAACCCCCAAUAUUUCUGGGGGUAGUUAGGUACUCGAAAUGGAGUUUUAAUGCCCUUAGAAGACCAAUGUCUUCUGAGAAGGUGAUAAAGGUCCACUGGCUCUGUCCCCUUGGGCCCCCAAUGACCUGCUACUGAAGCAUUUCUCUUCCAGAAUCAAAGGAAUAAUAGAGAGGGAGAGAAGGAGGGCAGGAAGGAGGAGGAGGAAAGGUGGCCCUUUUGAGAGG
This is a long non-coding RNA of Bos taurus (domestic cattle), 3069 nucleotides long. Lineage: Eukaryota; Metazoa; Chordata; Mammalia; Artiodactyla; Bovidae. The record is from Ensembl.